This 1088-nucleotide long non-coding RNA is filed under the name Nothobranchius furzeri (turquoise killifish). RNAcentral describes it as "lncRNA (ENSNFUG00015025237.1)". Lineage: Eukaryota; Metazoa; Chordata; Actinopteri; Cyprinodontiformes; Nothobranchiidae. The record is from RNAcentral.
UCUGUCCUCCGGGCCACACACACACACACACACACACACACACACUGCAUGUUCGACCGGCCGACGAGAAAGUGCAGCUGCAGAGACAGAGGCACAUUAUUUUUAUUUAUUUCCUGUGUUCUUCUGUCCUCCGGGCCACACACACACACACGGGACUGUCUCAGCUGUUAUUUUCGUUAAGGAGUGUGUACGUACAGCAUGCACGCCUCGUGCACGAGCCUACUAUUGAAGCUGCCGUUACGCUUUUGGCCUGAGGGGGCAAUCACGAGCAUAAAAAUUCAAAAGUCUGAAAAGUCCCUUUAAACAAGUAAUUUUUAUAUGUUUGACACAAAAACAAAUAAAUCAGAAGAAAUUCAGAUUUUACACACUUUGUUUGCACACGUAAAGAUUAAAACAUUUCCUGCAUCAGAACUUUAUCAUAACUAUUUGAUCCUGUACCUACUUUAUUUGCUGCAUUUUUGUGAUCCAACCAGUGAUUAAUUGGCACCAAUUGUUUUAUUAUUUGAUUUAGUCAGACUUUGGAUUUAAGGUCUUCAUGGAACUUUUUAUCAACCAUGUGAUUGAUCUAUAACACUACCGAGUUUUACUCUUAGUGUUACGGCCCUUUAAAGCCGAUGUGUGAAAUAACCAUCCGAAUUUUGAUAAAAGAUUUAUCCUUUUUUAAAUAAAACAGUGAUUAAACACAUUUUCCUAUGUAAAUAUACUAUAGUAAAAGAUGGAUGUAUAAUUGGCUUUUGUCCCUGCAGGGCUUCUAUUUUCCACAGAGGCAGAAGACCUGUACAGAAUUCAGUGGAACAGAUGUUCUGUUGAAUGUACUAAUACUGUCAGAGAUAGAGGUCUUGGUUUACAGCCGAAACCAAAAGAUCUAAGAAAAGUUACACAUUUAAUUAAAAAAUUUUAUAAUUUACAAAUAAUUUAUGACAUGUCCACCUCGGUUGACAGCGUGCAUUCUGAGCAUGAAAAAUGUUGGCUUGGCUUACUGAAGUCCAAAUGGAGGGACUCAAAUGCAAUAAAGUCUUCAACAGCUAUGCUUAAUAGCAAAAACAAAUAAAUAACAAUUUUGAGUACCUGUCCACUGUAGUGACCAU